GACGAACGCUGGCGGCGUGCUUAACACAUGCAAGUCGAACGGGCCUGUCUUCUUUUUUGGGGGGUGGGUUGAGUGGCGAACGGGUGAGUAUCACGUGAGUAACCUGCCCUUCGGUCCUGGAUAACCGCUUGAAAGGGCGGCUAAUACGGGGUGGUCCGGUUGGUCCGCAUGGGCUGGUCGGGAUAGAUUCACUGUUUUUGGUGUUUCGGCGGGGGAUGGGCUCGCGGCCUAUCAGCUUGUUGGUGGGGUGAUGGCCUACCAAGGCGGUGACGGGUAGCCGGGCUGAGAGGGUGGGCGGCCACACUGGGACUGAGAUACGGCCCAGACUCCUGCGGGAGGCAGCAGUGGGGGGGAUUGCACAAUGGGCGGAAGCCUGAUGCAGCGACGUCGCGUGAGGGAUGGAGGCCUUCGGGUUGUGAACCUCUGUUUCCGGUGGUGAAGGCCCUGUCCGUGUGGUGGGGUUGACGGUAGCCGGGGAUGAAGCGCCGGCUAACUACGUG
This 500-nucleotide ribosomal RNA is filed under the name uncultured bacterium. RNAcentral describes it as "partial 16S ribosomal RNA". It matches the Rfam family "Bacterial small subunit ribosomal RNA", at positions 28 to 507 of the family's 1533-position model. The record is from RNAcentral.